UCUACCUACGGGGGGCAGCAGUGGGGAAUAUUGCACAAUGGGGGAAACCCUGAUGCAGCGACGCCGCGUGAGUGAAGAAGUAUUUCGGUAUGUAAAGCUCUAUCAGCAGGGAAGAAAAAAAGUCUUUGGCUUUGGACGGUACCUGACUAAGAAGCCCCGGCUAACUACGUGCCAGCAGCCGCGGUAAUACGUAGGGGGCAAGCGUUAUCCGGAUUUACUGGGUGUAAAGGGAGCGCAGACGGCAGUGCAAGUCUGGAGUGAAAGCCCGGGGCCCAACCCCGGAACUGCUCUGGGAAACUGUGCGG
RNAcentral lists this ribosomal RNA (305 nucleotides) under uncultured bacterium. RNAcentral's name for it is "partial 16S ribosomal RNA". It matches the Rfam family "Bacterial small subunit ribosomal RNA", at positions 334 to 640 of the family's 1533-position model. The record is from RNAcentral.